This 439-nucleotide ribosomal RNA is filed under the name uncultured bacterium. RNAcentral describes it as "partial 16S ribosomal RNA". It matches the Rfam family "Bacterial small subunit ribosomal RNA", at positions 338 to 795 of the family's 1533-position model. The record is from RNAcentral.
CCUACGGGAGGCAGCAGUGAGGAAUAUUGGGCAAUGGGGGCAACCCUGACCCAGCCAUGCCGCGUGAGUGAAGAAGGUCUUCGGAUUGUAAAGCUCUUUCGGACGUGACGAUGAUGACGGUAGCGUCUAAAGAAGCACCGGCAAACUUCGUGCCAGCAGCCGCGGUAAUACGAAGGGUGCGAGCGUUGUUCGGAUUUAUUGGGUUUAAAGGGUGCGUAGGCGGUCCGUUAAGCCAGCGGUAAAAUUGCGGGGCUAAACCCCGUCGAGCCGUUGAAACUGGCAGACUUGAGUUGGCGAGAAGUACGCGGAAUGCGCGGUGUAGCGGUGAAAUGCAUAGAUAUCGCGCAGAACUCCGAUUGCGAAGGCAGCGUACCGGCGCCAGACUGACGCUGAGGCACGAAAGCGUGGGGAUCGAACAGGAUUAGAUACCCUUGUAGUC